Ictidomys tridecemlineatus (thirteen-lined ground squirrel) is the source of this 935-nucleotide non-coding RNA. Lineage: Eukaryota; Metazoa; Chordata; Mammalia; Rodentia; Sciuridae. The record is from RefSeq and is a predicted model, not a curated record.
CGAGCCCGCAGUGCCUCCGGGUCUCGACCUCCCUCGCCUUGGCCCGGAAUCUGCAAAGGACCAGCGCCUCCUUCUGUUCCUCCUGGGCGGUUACUGCCUGAAAACCUGGGCAAGGGGAGGCGCCAUCUCCCUCACUUGGUACUCCUCUGCUUGAAAUACCCCUAAAAGCCGAUAAGGACGGGAAGUUCCUUCGGCUGGUUCGCCAUUCGUGAACAGGUGUCCUCCGGUGUCCAGGUCCAAGUUUCCAUCUGAUUUCAUCCACCUCAAGGACUACCAUCAACAUUUCUUGGAGUUCCUUCUGCUGGGAACUGAUUUUUUUUCAGCUUUGGUGUCUCUGAAGUUUUUCGCUGAGCCUUCAUUUUUUAAAGCUGGGUCUUCCAGGUAUGGCAAGCUAGACUGAAGCGCUCCUGCAGGUGUGCUCAGGCGUGGCCCGCUCUGACUCUCCAGUGAGAAUCUGCCCCCAGCACUCCUCUGUCCAUCACGUGGUGUCUCCUCUGGCAGUUUUCAGACUCUGUUCCUCGUCACUGACGUGGGACAAUCUGCUCAAGAUGUGCCUUGGUUUGGUCUUGUUCACCCUGAAUUGCUGGGAAUUUGUUGAGAUUUUCUGUACCAAUGAGCUGACUGUCAACUUUGGAGAUUUGGGGCCAUUAUUUCUCCCAGUAUUUUCUUUUCUUGCCUUUCCCUGUUGGCGUCUCAGCACAAGUGCUCGAGCUGGUCUGCGGCUCAGGACGCCACCUCUCUUUCCGACUCCCUUUUCUCUUCGUUUUGGAGAGUAUCUGUGGCCAUUUCUUUGAGGUAACUAGUAUUUUUCCUCUGCAGUGUCUGAUCUCUUGCUAAGAUGUAGUUCUGUUUAUUCUCUCAAAGUUCAUUUAGUGCCUUUUUAUAGCCCCCGUCUCUCCUGGCCUCUCUGAAUACAUGACAUAUAGUUAGAGUAA